ACGUAGGGGGCAAGCGUUAUCCGGAAUUAUUGGGCGUAAAGAGUGCGUAGGUGGUUUUUUAAGCGUGAGGUGAAAGGCAAUAGCUUAACUAUUGUAAGCCUUGCGAACUGGAAGACUUGAGUGCAGGAGAGGAAAGUGGAAUUCCUAGUGUACCGGUUAAAUGUGUAUAUAUGAGGAGGAGCAACAGCGGCGAGGGCAACAUUCUGGACUGGAAAUGACAUUGAGGCACGAAACUGUGGAAAACAAGCAG
RNAcentral lists this ribosomal RNA (250 nucleotides) under uncultured prokaryote. RNAcentral's name for it is "partial 16S rRNA". It matches the Rfam family "Bacterial small subunit ribosomal RNA", at positions 525 to 775 of the family's 1533-position model. The record is from RNAcentral.